CUUCCUGGCUCUAAAGGAAACUCAGAAUGACAACGGUGGCUGGAUAUUCUACCAUGGUAAUAGAACCCCUGAGUUUUUAGCUGGGCAUGUAGCUGUUCAGAGGAAAAAAAAGGCUAUUUCCCAGUUUCCUUUGCAAAGGACUGGGUGGAAGUUUUAUAUGGCAACUUCUGGAACUUUCCUUAAGUGACAGUUGGUCUCCCCUGUUGAUCUCUGCUGCUUUCAAGCCUCAAAGAUGCCAGUGCCCCUAAAACAAUCCUGCGGGCAGAUCACUCAGGCAAGAUAACACCUGGAGAGACAGUCAGCCAGUCUGCAUUAAAGGGAGAAAGAUGCUGCGUUUAAUGAACGGAACCUCCUGCCUCGACGAUUCAUUGAGAUUCUUCACCACCACCCUCGUUUUUCCCUUUAAAAACUGUCAUGGCUGAGCAGAAUCUUCGGAGUUGGUCUCUGGACACCAUGCCACCAUCUCCCCAGAUUGCCAACUUUUCUGAUUAA
Molecule: long non-coding RNA, 492 nt
Organism: Eubalaena glacialis (North Atlantic right whale)
Lineage: Eukaryota; Metazoa; Chordata; Mammalia; Artiodactyla; Balaenidae
Exons: 4
Source: RefSeq, a predicted model, not a curated record